AAAAAAUGAAUUUAAAGGCAGCAAGCAGCACUGCUGCCUUAAAAAGGCAGCAGUCAUUUAGAAAAAAAAAAAAAGAAGGAAAAAAAAAAAAAAAAAGAAAGAGCAUAUCUGGCUUAGCUCGGAAUGGCCUGAGCCGAAAAGUCAAGCCUUGAUUUUUUGGCCAAGCAAAAGAUCGGCUCGGCUCGGGCCCAAUAAAAGCUCACACCAUUAUACUCAAGCCAUGCCUGAGCCUCGAGUUUCGACUCGUUGACAUUUCUAUCUCGUGAUAAAGCCGUAUUCUACUUGUAUGUGUGUGCAUGCGUGUUUAUUUUUAUACAGGUUACAGAAUGGUUCACCCUUGUGAAAUUGUUUCUUCUCCUCGUCUCCCUUAAUAAAUAUCCUUCCUAGAACCUGGAAAAAAUGAAAUUUUCAGAGAGGGAAUUCUUUAUCUGGAUUGUGAAAGACUAAAUUGUGGCUGAAGCAAUGAAGAACACAAUGGCAAUCACAACACUCCAUUCAAAUUGAAUACAGGAUUUUGAACCAGAGUUGGAAAGAAUUUGCAACUCAAAAACUGUAUUUAGUUGGAUAAGAAUGUGCUGCUAACCGUGUAAAGUACUAAUAUGCCCCUAAUCGUUUAGUUAAUGCAAAUAUAAAUGAGGCAAAAUAUGACAUGAAAACUUGCAGCAUGAAAUCAGUAAUGGAGAGAAUUAAGGGAAACAUGGAGCAUGAAAUAGGUAAUGAAAAGACUUUGUGCUCCAAUCACGUCUUGCUGUCUUCAUCGUUCUCCUUGGUUGAUGAAGAUUUGCCGAAUCUUAUGUCGUGUACUCACCUGGUGUCUUGCAAUGGCAGCUGUUCGCCUUCUUUUGAAAAUUCUCCUCAAAGGAUUGCUUUAUUUGUCUAAAAUAUGUGAACGUAGUCGAUAUCAAUCUUUUACUGAAAAACCGAGAAAUUUUAAGCCUUUGCAGCCGGUCAACAGUCCAAAGGUGCUAGAACAAGUCCAUAGGGUAGCAUUGAGAACUUCCACUUAAUUUUUAUUUAUUUCUUUUAUUUAUUUUUUAUUUUUACCUUGGUUAGAUUUUUUGUAAUUAUAAUAUUUGGCCUGCUGGAUGCUGCAAAACAGAAAUGACCCGAUUCUUUCGAUCCGAUAUCGGUGUUCUUCGAAAGGAGAAUUUUGUCAAUCAAGAAUCAUUUCGUGACAUUCAUGAACGAAUUAAUGAGUGUUGAUUGUUAAUUCUCAUUAUUUUACAUAAAUCAAAUGAUUUUAAUCCUGUACUUCAUUCGACUUGCAUCCUCCUAGGUAUCUUCCAAGGAUGGAGAAUCACAUGGGAUACCAGUUUCCAACUUUGUGGCUAUUUCCAUAAGUGAUGGAGAUGCCCGCUAGAAACUCAUAGAAAUAUGCUUACCUUUUUCAUCUUCAAGCUUGAUCAUAUUUUCUCUAAUAAAAUUAUCCUUCUUCUCACUUUUGUUAGUGUGCAUGUUCCAUGAUUUUAAUGCAAC
RNAcentral lists this long non-coding RNA (1476 nucleotides) under Olea europaea subsp. europaea. The record is from RNAcentral. Lineage: Eukaryota; Viridiplantae; Streptophyta; Magnoliopsida; Lamiales; Oleaceae.